Molecule: ribosomal RNA, 422 nt
Filed under: uncultured bacterium
Lineage: Bacteria
Description: bacterial SSU rRNA
Rfam family: Bacterial small subunit ribosomal RNA
Source: RNAcentral
GGGAAUCUUCCGCAAUGGACGAAAGUCUGACGGAGCAACGCCGCGUGAACGAUGAAGGUUUUCGGAUCGUAAAGUUCUGUUGUUAGGGAAGAACCGCCGGGAUGACCUCCCGGUCUGACGGUACCUAACGAGAAAGCCCCGGCUAACUACGUGCCAGCAGCCGCGGUAAUACGUAGGGGGCAAGCGUUGUCCGGAAUUAUUGGGCGUAAAGCGCGCGCAGGCGGCUUCUUAAGUCAGGUGUGAAAGCCCACGGCUCAACCGUGGAGGGCCACUUGAAACUGGGAGGCUUGAGUGCAGGAGAGGAGAACGGAAUUCCACGUGUAGCGGUGAAAUGCGUAGAGAUGUGGAGGAACACCCGUGGCGAAGGCGGCUCUCUGGCCUGUAACUGACGCUGAGGCGCGAAAGCGUGGGGAGCGAACAGG